YUYUUUUUGAAUAUAAUUUAAAGUAGGGCCUGCCCACUGAGAAUUUAAAGGGCCGCAGUAUCUUAACUGUGCAAAGGUAGCAUAAUCAUUAGUUUUUUAAUUGAAAGCUGGAAUGAAUGGUUUGAUGAGAAAAUAGCUGUCUCAAUAUUAAUUAUUUAUAAUUUUAUUUUUAAGUUAAAAAGCUUAAAUAUUUAUAAAAGACGAGAAGACCCUAUAGAGUUUUAUUAAUAAAUAAUUUUUUAAUUUAAGAAUUUAUUAUUAAAAAUUUAUUUAUUAAUUUAAUUGGGGUGAUUAAAAAAUUAAAUAAACUUUUUUUAUAUAAUUACAUUUAUUUAUGAAUAUUUGAUCCAUAAAAAUGAUUAAAAGAAUAAAUUACCUUAGGGAUAACAGCGUUAUUUUUUUUUAGAGUUCAUAUUAAAAAAAAAGUUUGCGACCUCGAUGUUGGAUUAAAGUUAAUUUUUGGUGCAGAAGCUAAAAAAUUGGGUCUGUUCGACCUUUAAAACUUUACA
RNAcentral lists this ribosomal RNA (509 nucleotides) under Scymnus sp. BYU CO303. RNAcentral's name for it is "partial 16S ribosomal RNA". The stretch from base 383 to 509 matches the Rfam family "Archaeal large subunit ribosomal RNA", at positions 2544 to 2671 of the family's 2987-position model. Lineage: Eukaryota; Metazoa; Arthropoda; Insecta; Coleoptera; Coccinellidae. The record is from RNAcentral.